This 314-nucleotide ribosomal RNA is filed under the name uncultured bacterium. RNAcentral describes it as "bacterial SSU rRNA". It matches the Rfam family "Bacterial small subunit ribosomal RNA", at positions 482 to 793 of the family's 1533-position model. The record is from RNAcentral.
AACAGAAAGUCACGGCUAACUACGUGCCAGCAGCCGCGGUAAUACGUAGGUGGCAAGCGUUAUCCGGAUUUAUUGGGCGCAAAGAGAGUGCAGGCGGUUUUUCUUAAGUCUGAUGUGAAAGCCUUCGGCUUAACCGGAGAAGUGCAUCGGAAACUGGAUAACUUGAGUGCAGAAGAGGGUAGUGGAACUCCAUGUGUAGCGGUGGAAUGCGUAGAUAUAUGGAAGAACACCAGUGGCGAAGGCGGCUACCUGGUCUGCAACUGACGCUGAGACUCGAAAGCAUGGGUAGCGAACAGGAUUAGAUACCCUGGUAG